GGGGCAGCACAGGUAGCAAUACUGGGUGGCGACCGGCGCACGGGUGCGUAACGCGUAUGCAACCUACCUUUAACUGGGGCAUAGCCCGGAGAAAUCCGGAUUAAUAUCCCAUAAUAUUCAUUUUGGACAUCCUUUAUGAAUUAAAGCUUUUGCGGUUAAAGAUGGGCAUGCGUGGCAUUAGCUAGUUGGUGAGGUAACGGCUCACCAAGGCGACGAUGCCUAGGGGUUCUGAGAGGAUUAUCCCCCACACUGGUACUGAGACACGGACCAGACUCCUACGGGAGGCAGCAGUGAGGAAUAUUGGUCAAUGGACGAAAGUCUGAACCAGCCAUGCCGCGUGCAGGAUGAAGGCCCUAUGGGUUGUAAACUGCUUUUGUUUGGGAAGAAACUUCCGUACGUGUACGGGACUGACGGUACCAGGCGAAUAAGCAUCGGCUAACUCCGUGCCAGCAGCCGCGGUAAUACGGAGGAUGCAAGCGUUAUCCGGAUUUAUUGGGUUUAAAGGGUGCGUAGGCGGAAUAAUAAGUCAGUGGUGAAAUACCCCGGCUCAACCGGGGAACUGCCAUUGAUACUGUUAAUCUAGAGUACA
Molecule: ribosomal RNA, 589 nt
Filed under: uncultured Bacteroidota bacterium
Lineage: Bacteria; Pseudomonadati; Bacteroidota
Description: bacterial SSU rRNA
Rfam family: Bacterial small subunit ribosomal RNA
Source: RNAcentral